RNAcentral lists this unclassified non-coding RNA (180 nucleotides) under soil metagenome. RNAcentral describes it as "partial contains small subunit ribosomal RNA, internal transcribed spacer 1, and 5.8S ribosomal RNA". The record is from RNAcentral.
UUUCCGUAGGUGAACCUGCGGAAGGAUCAUUAGCGUUUUCGGGAUUGUAUCCUUUGGUUAAAUGUGGAGAUUGGAUUUGUGGAUUUUCGAUUUUUUGAUGCGAAUUUGGCAUAUUGGUUGGCUUAUGGAUACGAUUGAUGUAAAAACAUACAACUCUUAGCAAUGGAUAUCUUGGUUCCC